Molecule: ribosomal RNA, 777 nt
Filed under: uncultured bacterium
Lineage: Bacteria
Description: bacterial SSU rRNA
Rfam family: Bacterial small subunit ribosomal RNA
Source: RNAcentral
AGAGUUUGAUCAUGGCUCAGAAUGAACGUUGGCGGCGUGGAUUAGGCAUGCAAGUCGAGCGAGAAUUCCCCGCAAGGGGAAGGACAGCGGCGAAAGGGAGAGGAACACGUAGUUACCUACCCUCAGGACUGGGAUAGCUCCGGGAAACCGGAGGUAAUACCAGAUGACGUCGAGAGACCAAAGGUGUGAUUCCGCCUGAGGAGGGGACUGCGUCCUAUUAGCUAGUUGGCGAGGUAACGGCUCACCAAGGCGAUGAUGGGUACGGGGUGUGAGAGCAUGCCCCCGCUCACUGGGACUGAGACACUGCCCAGACACCUACGGGUGGCUGCAGUCGAGGAUCUUCGGCAAUGGGCGCAAGCCUGACCGAGCGACGCCGCGUGCGGGAUGAAGGCCUUCGGGUUGUAAACCGCCGUCGGGAUGGAGGAAAUUCCAUAGGGUUCUCUCUAUGGAUUGACCUAUAUUCAGAGGAAGGACGGGCUAAGUUCGUGCCAGCAGCCGCGGUAAGACGAACCGUCCAAACGUUAUUCGGAAUCACUGGGCUUAAAGGGUGCGUAGGCGGCUCAGAAAGUAGGGUGUGAAAGCCCUCGGCUCAACCGAGGAAUUGCGCCCUAAACUACUGGGCUAGAGGAACGCAGAGGUAAGCGGAACUUAGGGUGGAGCGGUGAAAUGCGUUGAUAUCCUAAGGAACACCAGGAGCGAAAGCGGCUUACUGGGCGUUUUCUGACGCUGAUGCACGAAAGCUAGGGGAGCGAACGGGAUUAGAUACCCCCGUAGUCC